CAUUCUUCUCUCUAGAUUUCUUCCUCAACUGACCCAUUUAUUCCACAAUCAGUGAAUACUUAGGAAAUUCUAGAAUUGUGGGCUUCAUUUCAACAGAUCAUUUGGUCGUUCUUCAUCUGGUAAGUUUCCCCCAAAUCUCUCCGCGCUUCUGUUAGUUGUGAUCAUGCAAAGUUCUGCCCUUGCAUGUGUUUAACAACUAUUUUUCCCAAAUUCUUGACUCAAGUGAAGUCUAAGAAACUGUUCUUCAUCAUAAAUUGAUUAUCUGUAGGUGGGCUAGCAUUUCCGUAAAGAGCAAGUGAGCUANAAAGGGGUUUUGGGUUACUGCACUACUUGGACAGAGGUAAGGGGAGCUGGGGUUUUUAUUCGUGAUUCAGUGAGUUAGAAGAUGCAUGAACUAGGGCCUGUUUAAAUUUGUGAAAUUUUGUAUGUGUGAAAUUGUCUCUGUGUGUUGAAAUUAUUUGAGCUAAAUUUGAUAAUUUUUAUAUGCUAGGAUAUGUGCCUUUAAAUUGACCAAACUGUGAAAUUAUACUGUACUGCAAUGAAUUGAAUAAGAUGUGUUUGUUUGUUUU
Molecule: long non-coding RNA, 569 nt
Filed under: Vigna radiata
Lineage: Eukaryota; Viridiplantae; Streptophyta; Magnoliopsida; Fabales; Fabaceae
Description: long non-coding RNA (VRAD_LNC011079)
Source: RNAcentral